AGAGUUUGAUUCUGGCUCAGGAUGAACGCUGGCGGCGUGCUUAACACAUGCAAGUCGAACGGAGUUUUUAAACGGAAGUUUUCGGAUGGAAGUUUAGAAACUUAGUGGCGGACGGGUGAGUAACGCGUGGGUAACCUGCCUCAUACAGGGGGAUAACAGUUAGAAAUGACUGCUAACACCGCAUAAUAUAGCGAAACCGCAUGAUUUUUGCUAUCAAAUAUUUAUAGGUAUGAGAUGGGCCCGCGUCUGAUUAGCUAGUUGGUGGGGUAAAAGCCUACCAAGGCGACGAUCAGUAGCCGGCUUGAGAGAGUGACCGGCCACAUUGGGACUGAGACACGGCCCAAACUCCUACGGGAGGCAGCAGUGGGGAAUAUUGGACAAUGGGGGAAACCCUGAUCCAGCCGACGCCGCGUGAGUGAAGAAGUAUUUCGGUAUGUAAAGCUCUAUCAGCAGGGAAGAUAAUGACAGUACCUGACUAAGAAGCCCCGGCUAACUACGUGCCAGCCGCCGC
This 511-nucleotide ribosomal RNA is filed under the name uncultured bacterium. Its description in RNAcentral is "bacterial SSU rRNA". It matches the Rfam family "Bacterial small subunit ribosomal RNA", at positions 8 to 518 of the family's 1533-position model. The record is from RNAcentral.